Long non-coding RNA from Brienomyrus brachyistius, 954 nucleotides. RefSeq lists it as uncharacterized. The transcript has 3 exons. NCBI's taxonomy places the organism in Eukaryota, Metazoa, Chordata, Actinopteri, Osteoglossiformes, Mormyridae. The record is from RefSeq and is a predicted model, not a curated record.
UUUAUGUCUUUUGCUGCCUGGAAUGUCACACGCGUGUCUCUGUUUGCUGUGGGGUCUGCAUCCCGGAUUCUGCAUGCAGCUCGUCAUCACAGACGCUACACCUCGUCCUCCUCUGGAUCUUCUGCCUUUCUUGAGAAUCUCUCAGAUCAUUAAGUGCCCUGUGAUGGGCUGGCCCCCCAUCCUGGGUUGUUCCCUGCCUCGUGCCCCGUGCCGGAUAGGCUCUGGACCCCCCGCGACCCAGUAGGAUAAGCGUUUUGGAAAAUGGAUGGAUGGAUGGAUAUCAAUGUCCUUACAAUGAUUUUAUUAUAAUUUAGUGCCUUUGUCACCAUUCAGCCAAACAUUUUCCAUAUCUACUUAUAAGGAAAUUCAAAAUAAAGGAAAAGGCCCCGAGGCAAUGAAGCAAUGCAACAACUAAGGGAAGUGUUCGACGUCUCCACAUUUUGUCAGACUGGUGCUGCAGCAAGUCGUAAAGACAGCACAGAGGAUCAUGGGGAGAUUCGGGGGGACAUCGACACCAGGAGGUGCAGGGAAAAGCAAAGCCUCCUGCAUCAUCAGCCCCCCCCAAACUCACUCUGUGUGUCCCUUUACCAUCCGACAGGAGGGUCAUCCCAAACUCUAUAAGGUUUAGGUUGGGGAUUGUGGGGGCCAGGUCAUCUGUCACAGUACUCCAUCUCUUUCUUUGUUCACAAGAGAAUGCAGCACUGUCAUAACCUCAAGGUGUGCUUAGGAUUAUUUUCUGGUUGAAAAGCAAAUAAUUUUCAGUAGGUGUGCCCAGAUUUUUGACUGAUACCGGAUGUGUGUCUGGCAUGCAAACUACACAGGGUCCUGGUGCUCUGUGACCAGGGAUCUUUAAUGUUUUAGAACCAGCCUUCCAAAGAUCUUCAUGAUGUGUGAAAUGUCAGUGACUGGUCUGAAGGUCUUAAAGGUUCUUUGGCACUGGGGUGUCUUUUGGGG